This 1422-nucleotide ribosomal RNA is filed under the name Triticum aestivum (bread wheat). Its description in RNAcentral is "partial small subunit ribosomal RNA". The record is from RNAcentral. Lineage: Eukaryota; Viridiplantae; Streptophyta; Magnoliopsida; Poales; Poaceae.
AUGGCUCUCGCAGACGACCACGACGAGUACGCGAAGCUAGUCCGGGGGAUGAACCCGCCGAGGGUUGUGAUCGACAACGAAGCCUCCGACGACGCAACCGUCAUCCGGGUGGACAGCGUCAACAGCCACGGCACCCUCCUCGCCGUCGUCCAGGUCAUCGCCGACCUCAACCUCGUCAUCCGCAAGGCCUACUUCUCCUCCGACGGCAGCUGGUUCAUGGACGUGUUCAAUGUCACUGACCGUGACGGGAACAAGGUUCUUGACACGCCAACCAUCUCCUACAUCCAGACGGUAAUUCAGUCAAAACUUUGGUGCCCGGACGAUGGAGUUUUUCAUUGUGACGAGGAGUUUUUGAGGAUUCAAUUUGUUGUGUGUAUGCAGACGUUGGAAGCCGAGGACUGCUACUACCCGGAGGUGCGCAACACGGUGGGCAUCGUGCCGUCGGAGGAGUACACGUCGAUCGAGCUCACGGGCACCGACCGCCCGGGCCUGCUCUCCGAGGUGUGCGCGGUGCUCGCCGGCAUGCAGUGCGCGGUCCGGAGCGCCGAGCUCUGGACGCACAACACGCGCGUCGCGGCCGUCGUGCAGGUCACGGACGCGGCCAAAGCCGCGGGCGGCGCCAUCGAGGACAAGGCCCGCAUCGCCGACAUCAGCCGGCGCCUCGACAACCUGCUGCGCGGGCAGAACGGCGUGCGAGCGGCGGCCGCGGCGAGCCUGACGCACAAGGAGCGCCGCCUGCACCAGAUGAUGUUCGAGGACAGGGACUACGGCGCCGCCGGACGGCCGGACCCGCGGACGGAUGUCUCCGUGACGCACUGCGCCGAGCGCGGGUACACCGUGGUGGUGGUCCGGUGCAGGGACCGGCCCAAGCUGCUGUUCGACACCGUGUGCACCAUCACCGACAUGCAGUACGUCGUCCACCACGGCACCGUGAGCUCCGAGCCGGGCGGCGGCGCCUACCAGGAGUACUACAUCAGGCACGUGGACGGCCACCCGGUGAGCUCCGAGGCCGAGCGCCGGCGCGUCGUCCAGUGCCUCGAGGCGGCCGUGGAGCGCCGCACUGCCGACGGGCUGGAGCUGGAGGUCCGCACCGACGACCGCGCCGGCCUGCUCUCCGACGUCACCCGCAUCUUCCGGGAGAACGGGCUGACGAUACGGCGCGCCGAGAUAUCGUCCGAGGACGGGGAGGCCGUGGACACCUUCUACCUGUCGGACCCGCAGGGCCACCCAGUGGAAGCCAAGACGAUCGAGGCCAUCCGCGCGCAGAUCGGCGAGGCCGCGCUGCGGGUAAAGAACAACCCGCUGGCCGACGACGGCGGUUCCAGCUCCGAGGUCGCCGCCGGCUCGACGGCAUUCCUCUUCGGGAACCUCUUCAAGUUCUACCGUCCGUUCCAGAACUUCGGCCUCAUCAAGCUCUACUAG